CAACCGGGCAACAUCUGCUCCCGCUGGACCAAUCCGUGCAGGGCACAUCUGGGCGCCCACCUCCGCGGGCUGCAGCCGGGCGGUGAUGCGCUCCUCAGUGGCUGCAGGGACCCGCAGGAGCUGCCACCAGUGCCACCACUUCCAGCGGCAGCCAGCAGCUCGGAGCGGCUGGGGAAGGAAGAAGGACGGGAGCAGCUCUCCCUCCACAGCUGGGGAUCGCAAGGUGACGUUCUGCGGGGCUGUGCUGCCAGCAAUGCUUGCUGAGCCCGUGCGAGGAGAUCUCACCAGGACUGCUGGCAUCAUCCCAGAGAGACCCUUUGCAGACUGACUCCACAUCCUCAGAGCUGAUCUGACUGGGGCCUACCAAAUCCAUUAACGACGUCGAAAGUAGCCUACUUUAAGAGAAAAUAUGCAGAAGAAGAACAUCUACAUCAAGAUUACCAUGAGUACUGUCCAAAACACCUGAUACUCCCUGAGGACCGGACUUGUAUUCUAAAACUUUCUCUCCAGAAACUCCGAUUCCUGGAAGAUCCCGAAGCCUAUCUCCGUAGGUCGGUGUUAAUUAACAAUCUGUUGAGGAAGAUUCACCUAGAGACAGAGAGGGAGAGCUAUGAAUACUUUAAGGAGGCUCCGUGCUAUAGGACUGCUUACUCUGACUCACGAAAACGGCUGAAGUUUAUGGUACACGAGUGCUGUUCUCAGUCACUCUAUUAUGAAGAGCUGCAUUCGUAUCGCAUUGUGCCUUAUUCUGCAGAGAACGCCGUUUAUGGGAUGGGCUACACAAGCAGCCACCUGGAGCAAAAUUCUCAAUUGCUUAUUUAUAAAAUGAAUUAAAGUAGCUGUUAGACCCACCGAUGUUUGUUUCUGAAUGCUUGAACUGCUUGCUGAGGCGUUAGGAUGAGGCACUGAUUGCAGAGAUGCCCGUGGUGAGGUGGGAGCGGAGCUUGGACUCAGCAGCUUGGGGUGAGUUGGGUGCUUCGGGCACCGCUCCGCAGCCCCAUGUUAACCAAUUGGCCACGAAGCACCGUGCACACACAGGGCAGGUGUGAUGCUGAGGCCUCACACACAUGCAAUGUGUCGUGUGGAAGCAAAGCCACGUUGCUGUUCUCUGUGUGUAGAUACAAAUGCUGGGAAUCACUUUGUCGUUCAGUUGUGCCACCCUUAGCAGAAGGGGAGCCCCAGGUAGCGGAGCAGGCCGGCAGAGAGGAGCCAGGUGCCAGUUACUGACUGCAAAGGGACAGAUAGGAAGUUUCUCUGAGGAAAUGCUUUGUACAUGAAGGGGUCAGUGCCGAAGGAAUGGCCUUUGCUUAGGAUGCUCAGAGACUAACUCGCUUGCUACUUAAACUACUAUGAGAUUUGCAAGGUUAUUACUGUUAUUUUUAGAAUAAUUGCAUUCACCUUUUUAAUUACAUUAUCUCUUAGCUGGUAUUUACUUUGCUAUUCUAGUACAGAGCAGAAUGGCUCACAGGACAGAUUGUUUCUUUGUCCUGUUGCUGUGUUCCCUUAGCUUCAUUCGGGCUGUUUCCCCCAUACCUUCCUGCAUGCUGACCUGCUGUUUAGCAAGGGGUUCACACUGGUGCUAGGAAACAAUAGGUAAACAUUGAUUUUGACAUGGAAAGACAGAAAAGCAGUGGUAACUUCUCUGGAUAGAGAAUGAAUGUAUGUGACAGAUGCUAGUAGAAGUUCAGAGGUACUCCUGAUGAAGCUGCUCAGCAAUGGUAAUGGUGUUUCAGGUGAAGUGAAAUCAUAGAGCCACAGAAUGGCUUGGGUUGGAAGGGACCUCAAGGAUGGUUAUGUUUCAACCCCCGUCUUGGGCAGCACUGCCAGCUGCUAGGCUAAAUACUGGAUCAGAUUGCCCAGGGCCCCAUCUAACCAAAAUGUCUGAUUUUGACCUGGGAGUUAACCUUAGGUUAUGUAAAUAUGUAUCUUAUGAGCUGCGGAUUGACAUGAGAGCUGUUCAGCAAAACUGGUGAUUACAAGUGGGAGGUUUUAUAGCUGCCAAUGUACCAUGAAAAUACCAAAGAGUAAUAUAAGGGAAGAGAUGAUGCUCCAGCAAAAGCAAUGAUUGCACUAUAACCUGGGGAAAUGUGAUGAACGAGCUGUGAUGUAUCAGUGACUGAUUCCUAGGACUGCUGACCUAAUACACCAAUGGUCCAAACCUGUCCUACAGAGCUGCAGAAUUAUUGUGGGGGAGUCUGGCCUUGCCUGGCAGGCUGCCAGCCCUGCAUCUUUAGAGCAGAGCAAAUAGAAGAGCACUCUCAGCUGGAGGCAGGUUCAUGUUGAAGAACAGAAUUUGUUUUUAGUUUUGGAAGUCUUUUCUCAUGCAGAUGUGGCUGAUGCUAUUUCUGAAGUACAAAAAAUACCACUCCUUGACCAGGCUGUGCUCAGUGCAGGGCUAGAGGAGGAACCUCACAGCAUCUCAGCUGUGACACUGCAGCUGCUGCGCACAUGUUCACAGCACAAGACAAAGGAGGGGAGUAGGAGGUGCAAGGAGCAACAUGAACUCCUGCCCCAGCAGUACAGCUUUAGGGGACAGAAAGCAGCAGCAAGGUGCAGCUUACUAGUGCAAAACAACAGUUUAUUUGAAGAGAAGGAUAACCUGCAAAGUGGGGAGCAUGAGCAGCGCAGGUACUGUGGGAAGGCUGGGAAUGGGGCACUGCGGGCAGAGGCAGAGGUAGCGCCUGUGCCCAGGAGGCCACUGGGGGCACAGUGUGCCGUGUGGUUGUUCAGUCAGUGUGAUUCUUCUGCUAUAAACUGACCUGGUUUAUGCACUUGUUUUGCUCUUUUUGUCUGUUUUUGCCUGAACUCACAGCAGCGCAGGGGCUACACUGAAUGCUAGGGUGCUUUCCCCCUCCGAUCUGCUCUGUUACACUCAGAGGAUAGUCCUGGCCUGAAAAAUGAAAUUUCCUACAUCAAAUAAAAAUUGCUGCAUUGGCACAAAUGCUUGGUAGGAUUAAGGCCUUUAACCUUUAACCUUACCUUAGCAUUAUCCCACCAUCUCACAAAUGACAAAUUCCCUCCUCUGCUGAACAGGGCAGGCAUAUUCCUGCCUACUGUGAACUCCUCUGACAGAGCACUGCGUGCUCAGGAGGUAGCACAGGCAAGAACUGGGAUCAGACAACAAAACCACUUGGGUACCUGUGAAAGAAGGUAACACUUUACUCACGUUUUCUCCUCUUGAACAAAAAAAUGUUGUCUGAUUUUAUUAUUUCUUAAAUUUCUACUUGCUCCAGGAGAUGUUACAACUCCUUCCUUCUAGAAUGUUGGCUUUGAUUUGAAAUUGAGUUACAGGUCCUCAACUCUAAACAUUGCAUCUGCUCAACUUUUUGCUGCCUUAUGCUUCACACAGUGAUUUUUGCCAGUGAAAAGUGGAUCAACAUUCAACCAUUCAACCUUAGCGCUUGAUAGCCAUAACCUGCAGUGAUGAAGCAGUACAGAGGUGCAGUAGCAUCACAAGUUGCUCCAGAAAUGUUUGACACUUUUUGAACGACGUACCGCUUCUAUCACUUAUUUUCCAAGCUCCUGGGCACCAGCCCUUUAAUACAGCUUCAUGCAGUGAUUGUUCUGUUUUAGGGCUCAUAGCUGCAAUUCAGCUCUUCUGGCUCUGAUGUGUGAAUGUGUAGGUGGUCAGAUUUCGGCGAUAAGUAUAUAUAUACACAUAUAUAGAUGUUCCAUUAUGACUGCGGUAGGAACUCCCACACAUGGGCUAUGUUUGCACUGGAUGUAAGGAAGGUCCUUCCUUCCCUUUGAUUCUGUUGCCUUGGAGAUAGUGUUCAUGAGGCGAUGGUGGGUGGCACAGACAGACCUGCUCACAGGUAGCUGGUCAUUCCCAGUAGGGCUGGCUUAGGACAAUGCGUGGUCAUUUUGGAACAGCACAUGUGACUGUAAUUAGUGUUUAAAAGAGUUUAGCUCCCUCUGUGCCACUCUCUCGCUUGGCUAUGAGUGCUGGACUUGAGCUGGUGGCACUGAGCAGCAACAGGAGGCUCUGCAUGGAAUCAGCUUUGCAUUCUGACAUCUCCAAAAUGUAGGGCUCUGCUCCACUAUACACCUUUGUUAUGGCCUCUCUGUGCACAUCCGUGCGAGGCUCCUUAUGUGCUCCAUGCUCAGCAUGUGCAAUGUGGGGGCUGCCCUGUCCUAAUGUGCUCCUCCAUUGCUGAAUUACCAGAGAGAAGUGAGGGCAGAGCUGCUGCUUGACUACUGGAAUACAUUGAUAUUGCACUGUAAAUGGAACUGUUGUUUUUGAUGAAUGUGUUGAGUAUAUGGACUACGGUGCCUUAAAGUCCCAUCUUCAUACAGCCUUUGUACAUGCAAACCCGCAGCCCGCCUUUAGCCGACAGCCCCAUGCACGCCAUGCAGCUCUGGCCCUGUGCCCACAGGGCCUUGGGAAGCACCAGCCCCACUUCACACUUUGGCAAUUUCCUCUUCUCCUCUUUUCUAGACUGCUUUCCUCCCUUGGUCGGUCCCUGAAUUUCUCUUUUUCCAGUUUCUGCCAUCCCCGGGUUCUGCACUAGCCGCCCUGCCUUCACGUGAGCUCCAACCGUUGUACAAAAGCCGUCUCCAGCUUCUAAAUGCCAUAUUGUGCUCUCAGCAGGGAAUCACAACUGCAUAUAAUGACUGCGGCAGGUGCCGUCAAGUAUUUCAUCUGAUAUUUGACGCGCUUAACUCCGCAGAAAGGGGAACGCUCGCUUCUGCUGGAAUGCAUGAGCCUGCGCUGUGCUACAGGUGACUGUACACCAACUCACUGGGAUCACGCCUACUGAUUCUACGAUGGUAAAUGGCUUUUUAAUGUUUAAAAUUACUCGGGACCUGAUUGAAAGGUUUUUAUGAAAUCGUUUUCUAAAGUGAAUAGUAGAAAAAUGUAUAGGUAUUUUAAAUAUACAUAUAACGUGCAUGUUAUUAAUAAAGGUCUAUUUCUAUUGAAUCAGA
Tympanuchus pallidicinctus (lesser prairie-chicken) is the source of this 4926-nucleotide long non-coding RNA. RefSeq lists it as uncharacterized. The transcript is spliced from 4 exons. Lineage: Eukaryota; Metazoa; Chordata; Aves; Galliformes; Phasianidae. The record is from RefSeq and is a predicted model, not a curated record.